RNAcentral lists this ribosomal RNA (253 nucleotides) under uncultured bacterium. RNAcentral describes it as "partial 16S ribosomal RNA". It matches the Rfam family "Bacterial small subunit ribosomal RNA", at positions 526 to 779 of the family's 1533-position model. The record is from RNAcentral.
CGGAGGGUGCGAGCGUUGUCCGGAAUCACUGGGCGUAAAGGGCGCGUAGGUGGCUUGGUAAGCGUGUGGUGAAAGCCUGGGGCUCAACCCCGGGUCGGCCAUGCGAACUGCCGAGCUUGAGCACUGUAGAGGCAGACGGAAUUCCGGGUGUAGCGGUGGAAUGCGUAGAGAUCCGGAAGAACACCGGUGGCGAAGGCGGUCUGCUGGGCAGUUGCUGACACUGAGGCGCGACAGCGUGGGAGCAAACAGGAUU